This 301-nucleotide long non-coding RNA is filed under the name Citrus sinensis (sweet orange). RNAcentral describes it as "long non-coding RNA (CSIN_LNC005024)". Lineage: Eukaryota; Viridiplantae; Streptophyta; Magnoliopsida; Sapindales; Rutaceae. The record is from RNAcentral.
GAGGACACCGAUGACACAGAAAGUGAUGCAUUGGUAAAAAAGUAGUGGGUAGUUGCAGUUGGCCUAAACAUUUGAGGCUCUAAUGUGCCUUUUACUGUUGUUUCUCCCCGUUUGGAUAAUCUUCUUAUUUUUUUAUUGAAGUACCUUCUUGUGUUUAAGUUGAAGGAAGUUUUUAUACCUUGUGUUUAAGUUGAAGUUUUUAACUCUCUUAUAGAAAAAGGGAUGUAUGAACAUCUCUGAUAUAUAUUGCACAACUGUAAUCUAAGUUUCAAAUUUCGGAGAUUAAAAGAAAAAUUGUGCC